Molecule: ribosomal RNA, 1202 nt
Filed under: Lipomyces tetrasporus
Lineage: Eukaryota; Fungi; Ascomycota; Lipomycetes; Lipomycetales; Lipomycetaceae
Description: LSU rRNA
Rfam family: Eukaryotic large subunit ribosomal RNA
Source: RNAcentral
UGCCUUAGUAACUGCGAGUGAAGCGGCAAGAGCUCAAAUUUGAAAUCUGGCACCUUCGGUGUCCGAGUUGUAAUUUGUAGAAGCAUCUUUUGGAUUGGUCCUUGCAUAUGUUCCUUGGAACAGGACAUCAUAGAGGGUGAGAAUCCCGUUCAUGGUGGGGAAUCCAAUUCUUUGUAAAGUGCUUUCGAAGAGUCGAGUUGUUUGGGAAUGCAGCUCUAAGUGGGUGGUAAAUUCCAUCUAAAGCUAAAUAUUGGCGAGAGACCGAUAGCGAACAAGUACAGUGAUGGAAAGAUGAAAAGAACUCCGAAAGGAGAGUGAAAAAGGACGUGAAAUUGUUGAAAGGGAAGUGCUUGAGAUCAGUCUUAAGGUUUAGUGAUCAGUCUUCCUUUUGGUUGGUGCACUCACUAUUUCUUAGGCCAACAUCAGUUUUCGCGGCAGGAUAAUGACAUUGGAAUGUGGCUCUUUCGGGAGUGUUAUAGCCUUUGUUGAUACUGCCUGCUUAGACUGAGGACCGCGCUUUUGCUAGGAUGUUGGCAUAAUGAUCUUAAGCAGCCCGUCUUGAAACACGGACCAAGGAGUCUAACAACUAUGCGAGUGUUUGGGUGUAAAACCCGUACGCAUAAUGAAAGUGAACGUAGGUGGGAACCUUUUGGUGCACCAUCGACCGAUCCUGAUGUAUUCGGAUGGAUUUGAGUAAGAGCAUAGCUGUUGGGACCCGAAAGAUGGUGAACUAUGCCUGAAUAGGGUGAAGCCAGAGGAAACUCUGGUGGAGGCUCGUAGCGAUUCUGACGUGCAAAUCGAUCGUCAAAUUUGGGUAUAGGGGCGAAAGACUAAUCGAACCAUUGGUAAUUAGCUACUAGGUGGUUAAGAGGGCUGCUGAAUGCGAUCAGUGGCUCUAGUCUCGGGAAGCGAGGCAAGACCUGUCAAAUUGCUGGAACACCCUAAAGACAACAGUACUAAGCCGGCCUGGAAACAGACGGUGGAGCGUGUCGCACGCUGAGUGAAAAUCUGUUGUAUGUAACAAUGGGCAAUCAGCAGCCAAGUCCUAAGUCACGGACAGUGAUAUGGAUGCAGUUCAGAGACUAAAUGGCGGUCGGUCUGUUUUUGUGACAGGCUUAAGAUAUAGUCCAAUCCCAGUCGAAAGACUGUCUGCAGACAAAGCUCACUUAACUGCUUCCAAUUAGUUUGUGAGCCCGAACCUG